Molecule: long non-coding RNA, 1345 nt
Filed under: Gallus gallus (chicken)
Lineage: Eukaryota; Metazoa; Chordata; Aves; Galliformes; Phasianidae
Description: long non-coding RNA NONGGAT008020
Source: RNAcentral
GGGCACUCGAGCAGGUUUAGCUGAUGGCUUUAUGCAGAUUCUUUUCAAAAGAAGGCUCCGAGGUUGACAGUGUCCUCAUUGAUAGGGGCUAAAAAGUGCAAGGAACUUCUGAGGUCUAAAGAUAGGUGCAGGUAGCAAGCAGGCAGCAGGCAGCACAGUGCUGUGGCCAAUUAUACAAGAUAACAGUCCCUGGAAGAAACUGCAAAACUGCAUAAAUAAAAGACGCGGCUCUGGAAAAUGCUGUGCCACUGCCACAUCUGCAAUGAAAACGCGAGAACACAGAAUUUGAAGGAUGUGACAGCUGAUAUAAAACAAGACUGCUGAAAACAGAUGUUUUCAUAUAACUUCUCUUUCAGAUAGUAGGUCCUGAAGGCUGUGUGAUUCAGUGCUUCUAGUGCAGUGUGAGACUGGAAACUGAAUAUGUCCUGACUAAAGGAAAAAAAAAUGGAGUUGUGCAGCAUGGGCCUUCCUAUCAUUUCCUUGGAUUUCUUGCAGCCAGGUGGCUGUUAGGCUUGUCCCCAUGAAGAGCCUCCUGAAGUCAGUCCCAGAAUCUGCAGUGCGUGACGUGACAAAUGCUUCCUGUUUUGUCUCUUUUGAGGUCUUGUGGAGCCCUUUGUUGGCCUGAUCAGUUUGACGAGUGUAGCCAGUACCCAAUGACAACUUAGAAAAGAGCAGAAGAAAUGAGAGCUUUGUGGCAGGAAGUGUUACAGAGCUAUAGACACUUACAGCCCUGCGCCUAACUAGGCAGCUAUUGAGGUGAACCAAUGGCAUCCUGAAGAGAAACAUUACUUAGGAUAAAGUAAACACUUGUAGUAAAUUUAGGUUCCUACCCAUGCCCCUUUAAAUAUCCUCCCUGGGACAGGAUCAAAACAACCUAGAAAUGUGUGAAAUGCAAAGAAACAGUGCUGAUUUGCUGUGGUUUUGCUGGGCCCUCCAUAUGGGCUAUUGUGCCUCAGUUAUUUAGGAUGGCAGCCAUCAGCCCAGAAUGUGCCUUGCUAAGGGAAAGUCCCUAGUUACUGCUGUAGCAGUACUGCAGCGCUGAGGGAACUUCAAUGCCUGUGGCUGCCCACCCGGUACCUGACGUUGUUCAGCCUCAACACCACGUAGCUCUGCCAUUCCUCGCUCCUUAGGUGCCUGUACUCUGGCACUUGGAAAAAAUCAGACCAAAUGGCAGACUCACUUCAAGCAGAGACCAUUGGCUGUGUGUUGUGGGCUUCAGAGAUUCUCUAAAUUGUAUUUAAAAAAAAAAAAUAGAGGACCAUCUGCAAAUACUCGGCUUGUAUCCACCUUCAGACAACAGCCCUGCUACUGAGCUAGAUGGAGAAGCUCUCCUUUUUACUGAGAG